UGGUAGGGGUCAGCAUGAUGAAAAUGUCGAUCUCGUUUAGAACCCUUCCUAUACCAGUGACAGAGACCCUCUCUGGGCAUUUGGUACACACAGUGUGGAACAUGAGCUCUACAUCUGGGUCCUUAUGCUCAGGAUUCAACAAAUGAGGCUACCUACAGCAGGACACAGGGGGCAUGGCCUGGAUCCAUUUCUGUACCUAGCUCCUUCCCCUAGGUCCUACCCUUUUUCAUGUCUACUGAUCGUGAAGGACUAGAUAGGAUCUCGGAGCCAACCGGGUGAACCGGGAGAACAGAAACACCCUCCCUACAUGUGACCGGAGAGGGUUGUCACAUGAAGAACAUAUGGUACAGUUUACCAGCGACUCCUCCCAUUUGCUGCCCAAUAAGUAGAUUAACAUUGGGUUUAAUGAUACUGUACGGAUCUGCUGUGCAUUGAAUACAGCUAAAUUGAAUGCAACUAAAAUCUUUAAUUGCAAAACAUUCCACCUAUGAAGAGCGCUGAUGAUUUGUUUCAGAGGAUUUAAAAGUAGCAGAUCCAUAUAAAGGAUUACAUACACUCCCAUCUAUAUGUAUUUGGACA
Molecule: long non-coding RNA, 579 nt
Organism: Coregonus clupeaformis (lake whitefish)
Lineage: Eukaryota; Metazoa; Chordata; Actinopteri; Salmoniformes; Salmonidae
Exons: 3
Source: RefSeq, a predicted model, not a curated record